This 358-nucleotide transfer-messenger RNA is filed under the name Caryophanales. Its description in RNAcentral is "Neobacillus sp002585305 Standard tmRNA". It matches the Rfam family "transfer-messenger RNA". Rfam says of the family: Bacterial tmRNA, also known as 10Sa RNA or SsrA, is named for its dual tRNA and mRNA-like properties. Its role is to liberate the mRNA from a stalled ribosome. The record is from RNAcentral. Lineage: Bacteria; Bacillati; Bacillota; Bacilli. RNAcentral also lists the same sequence under 2 other names.
GGGGACGCUACGGAUUCGACAGGGGUAGUUUGAGCUUAGGUUGCGAGUCGAGGGGAUCGGCCUCGUUAAAACGUCAAAGCCAUAACUGGCAAAACUAACAAAACUUUCGCUUUAGCUGCUUAAUAGCGCUUAGCGGUUCGCCCCUCCAUCGCCCAUGUGGUAGGGUAGCGGACUCACUUUAAGUGGGCUACGCCGGAUUCCACCGCCUGAGGAUGAAGGAAGAGAACAACCAGGCUAGCUGACCGGACGCCGGUCGAUAGGCAAAAGGAUCAGUGAAACGCCAAUAUAUCGACUACACUCGUAGAUGCUUAAGUGCCGAUAUCUUUGGACGCGGGUUCGAUUCCCGCCGUCUCCACCA